This 429-nucleotide ribosomal RNA is filed under the name Acidobacteriota bacterium. RNAcentral's name for it is "Acidobacteria bacterium partial 16S ribosomal RNA". It matches the Rfam family "Bacterial small subunit ribosomal RNA", at positions 355 to 776 of the family's 1533-position model. The record is from RNAcentral. Lineage: Bacteria; Pseudomonadati; Acidobacteriota.
UGGGGAAUUUUGGACAAUGGGGGAAACCCUGAUCCAGCCAUCCCGCGUGUGCGAUGAAGGCCUUCGGGUUGUAAAGCAUUUUUGGCAGGAAAGAAACGUCAUGGGUUAAUACCCCGUGAAACUGACGGUACCUGCAGAAUAAGCACCGGCUAACUACGUGCCAGCAGCCGCGGUAAUACGUAGGGUGCAAGCGUUAAUCGGAAUUACUGGGCGUAAAGCGUACGCAGGCGGUUCGGAAAGAAAGAUGUGAAAUCCCAGAGCUCAACUUUGGAACUGCAUUUUUAACUACCGGGCUAGAGUGUGUCAGAGGGAGGUGGAAUUCCGCGUGUAGCAGUGAAAUGCGUAGAUAUGCGGAGGAACACCGAUGGCGAAGGCAGCCUCCUGGGAUAACACUGACGCUCAUGCACGAAAGCGUGGGGAGCAAACAGG